This is a long non-coding RNA of Cyprinus carpio (common carp), 380 nucleotides long. RefSeq lists it as uncharacterized. The transcript is spliced from 3 exons. The record is from RefSeq and is a predicted model, not a curated record. Lineage: Eukaryota; Metazoa; Chordata; Actinopteri; Cypriniformes; Cyprinidae.
CUGUGCAAACACCACCAACACACACUAGUUCUGUCUUUGUUUAGAUUCAGUGCCAGAAGAGACGUCACCAGUGCACACUGUACUUCUCUAAACCUCUUAACCUCAGACACUUCAACAUCAGACAUCAGAGCUGCACCGGAGAUUCACUAGAUUCAGAUCAUCACAAGUUUGUCAUGAUGCAGACAGACCUGCAGAGCUUCAUUCUGAUGAUACAAAGACAGACGCUCACAGAUGAGAUGAUAUAAAGCAUCACAUGUUUAUUUUGGAGAAAGCAGCAGGAAGCUCUUAAAGGUUUAGUUUGCAGCAGCUUUAUAAGAGUUUCUGGAGAAACAGAGCAUGGUGUGCAUCACAGACUGACUGAGAGACAGGACUUUUAUUCU